RNAcentral lists this ribosomal RNA (772 nucleotides) under uncultured bacterium. Its description in RNAcentral is "bacterial SSU rRNA". It matches the Rfam family "Bacterial small subunit ribosomal RNA", at positions 23 to 816 of the family's 1533-position model. The record is from RNAcentral.
AACACAAUGNUCNNCNCCNGCGANAAANACAUGAAAGAUCCUUUCUCGUGAUUGAUNGNNUAGAAAGCGGCGGACGGGUGAGUAACGCGUGGGUAACCUACCUUNUACACAGGGAUAGCCAUUGGAAACGAUGAUUAAUACCUGUAAUACCAUAUUAUCACAGUGAUGAAAUGGUCAAAGAUUUAUCGGUAUAAGAUGGACCUGCGUCUGAUUAGUUAGUUGGUGAGGUAACGGCUCACCAAGACUACGAUCAGUAGCCGACCUGAGAGGGUGAUCGGCCACACUGGAACUGAGACACGGUCCAGACUCCUACGGGAGGCAGCAGUGGGGAAUAUUGCACAAUGGGCGCAAGCCUGAUGCAGCAACGCCGCGUGAACGAAGAAGGCCUUCGGGUCGUAAAGUUCUUUUCUUAGGGAAGAAAAAAAUGACGGUACCUAAGGAAUAAGCACCGGCUAACUACGUGCCAGCAGCCGCGGUAAUACGGAGGGUGCAAGCGUUACUCGGAAUCACUGGGCGUAAAGCGCGCGCAGGCGGCUAUUUAAGUUGGAUGUGAAAGCCUACGGCUCAACCGUAGAACUGCAUCCAAAACUAUUUAGCUAGAGUGUGGGAGAGGAAGAUGGGAUUAGUUGUGUAGGGGUAAAAUCCGUAGAGAUAACUAGGAAUACCAAAAGCGAAGGCAAUCUUCUGGAACAUUACUGACGCUGAGGCGCGAAAGCGUGGGGAGCAAACGGGAUUAGAUACCCUGGUAGUCCACGCCCUAAACGAUGAAUGU